ACCGGAAAUCGGCGACUUUCGUCACCAGCAGCCGCGCACAAAUGCACGGGGAGGAAGGAGAAGAAAGAGGGAAAGAAGAAGGAGACUCACCUCAGCCUCCGGAGACCUUGUCGGCGGCGAUCACGGCGAGAAAUCAAAACGGUGACCGCGGCUUUAUUUCGGGAAAAUCAAAGGGAAGGAGAGGGAGAAGAGGCCGAUGAUCGGUCUCAAGGGGAAGGGGUCUUCUUAUAGAGCACCCUAGGACUCCGAGGGGUCCUAGGAGUCCUAAUUUCCAU
Molecule: long non-coding RNA, 275 nt
Filed under: Elaeis guineensis (African oil palm)
Lineage: Eukaryota; Viridiplantae; Streptophyta; Magnoliopsida; Arecales; Arecaceae
Description: long non-coding RNA (EGUI_LNC009625)
Source: RNAcentral